UUCGGGAAGCCUCCAUCCAAAUCAAGGUUCACUGUUAACUGACCUCAAAGUUGGUGAUCAAGAUCAAGAACAAGAACAGUGACAAAAGGGUUCUUGACAGACCUUUUUAGAGUUAGAGUUUAUAUUCACAGUUGUGAUUUGCUGUCAGUGAAUUUUAAGUUCAAAUAUUAGAAAUUUAGAGUAUCUAUCUUAUUUAUUUUGAUUGUGAGUAUCUGUGAUGUGGCUGGAUAUUAGAAUAUUAGGAUUUUCUGUGCAUAUUAUGUAGGAUUUGGUUGGAGUGGAUUUGAUGUGCUGUUGUACCCUGGUUUGUCCUGAUGGGAAUCAAAUCUGCUUCAGAUUCCACAAGCCAAACGAAAAUUACAGUAUUUUGAUUGUUAUAUUGUGUCAAUGAAAAACUUUUCAGUAAAGUCAAUACAUGAAUAUAGGUGUUAUAUUGUGUGAACUACAUUUUGAUUGUUAUCAACUAAGAUCUCUAUCAUUAACUCAUCCUUUUACCAUACCAUACUUAGUUCUGUUGAAACUAAGCUAAAAGGUAGAUACUCGGGUAAUAUCUAAGCUAAAAGGUAGGCAUAGUAUCUGAUUGCUUUACAAAGUUUUUUCUUCCAUUAGUGAUGCCAUGUUUGGUUUUCUUAUGUAUAAAAUUCUGAUGGACGUCUAAUCUCUGUACAUCACAGGCUAUUUCAUGUGGGACAAAUAAAGAAGGGGAUUCAUACUUGGUAGAAUGGAAUGAAAGCGAAGGAGCUGUAAAGCGUACCUAUCAUGGUCUUGGGAAGUGGACUGUUGGGGUUGUGCAGUUUGAUACCGCCAAGAAUUGAUUCUUGGCUACUGGCAACGAGUUCAUGGUUAAAUUCUGGGACAUGGACAAUGUUAACCUUUUGACAAGUACAGAUGCAGAUGGUGGACUGCUGGCUUCUCCUCCUAUUAGAUUUAACAAAGAAGAAAUAUUGUUAGCUGUCUCAACAAAUGACAAUGGUAUUAAAAUUCUAGCAAAUUCAGAUGGAAUUAGGUUACUGAGAACAGUGGAUGCUUCUAGAGCUGCUUAUGUGGCUGUUGUGAAGGUCUCAGCAGUAGGAACAUUUGGAUUAUCUAACAUUACUGUUGGAACAGGCAUUGGAGAUCGAGCAGCUCCAAUGCCAGGCAUGGUUGGACUGGUGAGUGUCCAUGAUUAUCUCUCAUGGGUGACUCAAAUCCCAGAAGAAAUCCAUAUAAAUCAAUGCUAACGUAGCUACACAUGUUGCUGUCAUGAAUUUGUUAUGUGAUGAACCAGUAUUUGCAGGAAAUAUAAGGAAAAAGAGCAACGACAGCAGAAGAAACACAUGCAUUAUGGAAAAGGAAACCACUAUAUUGAAGGCUGAAGAGCUCAAUAAGAAGCAUCAACAAGUUGAUCAUAUUUAAUUGAUACAUUAGAUCCCUGGCAGCAGACAAGUUCUUGAACUUUUGAAAGCUACUUCAGACCCAUCUGCCAACGUUCUCGACAUCGUGCUUUACUUUUCAAGAUAUUAAGUUUAUAGGCGUAACGGAGAGAUUAGGGGUAUUUCAGCAGAGAUAAAAUCGCACCACCAGCGGGAAGAGGAGGACAAAGUACUAGAUGAAGAAAUUGAAGAGGAUGAGAUGUUCUGGAAUCAAGAAGCUCUUAAAGAGGAGGAAGAAGAUGAUAACUAUGAAGUGGAGCUGAAGUUGCUGAUGUGUUCUCAAAUUGUUUACUUUAAUUUCAAGUUUUCUAGCAUUUUAGAGGAAAUGUGUGAGUUUAAAUUACCUCUAUUUGUUUGUGCAAUUAAUUGGGAACUAAGCUGUGAUUAUUUUGAGUUGACGUCGACAGAUCUUUGUAUUUCCUUUGAUUAUGUAUUUUACAAACUUAAUAAUUAAUACCUGAAGUCACCAACUGGUGUUUAAGAAAUGAUGCUGAUUUUGGGGUUUUACUAAUUUUGAAUCAAUUUGGCACCUUACAAAUGUUCCUAAGCUGGAUUGAGCAAUGCUGUGAUUUGGUGUUGAAGCAUCUUUCAGUCAUGCAGAAACAAAGAUGCUGAUGAAAAAAGUUGAUCCAUUGAUGAGAGCCAUGGAGCGGAGUCUAUGAAAAUAAAGAGAAAAGCCGUAGCUAAAGAUAAAGAAGCUGCAGCAGCCAAGGUGAAUGCUAACAAAAAGAACAGAAUUAUAAACUCAUCUAAGAGGUUGUAAUUAGUUUUCAACAGCCUCAAUACCAUUCUUUCCUUUUGUUUUCAGUUCAAUUUCAACAGUGCUUUGAACCAAGCCUGCAUUAUAUAUUAGUAACCUUCAGUGAUUUUUUUAGAAUAGCGAGCUUUGUCUUUCUUUAUUUCUCACUUCCAUACAAAAUGAGGUCACUUUCAGAUUUUCAAUUACGUUUUUCAUGGUUGUGAUUUGUUAGCAACAAAUUCCGCGGCAAAGCGCUUUGUCUUUCUUUAUCUCACUUCUAUCAAGAAUGAAGUCACUUUCAGAUUUUCAAUUAUGUUUUUCAUGAUUGUGAUUUGUUAACAACAACAAAUUCCGCGGCAAGGCGCGGGUGCUGUU
This is a long non-coding RNA of Rosa rugosa (rugosa rose), 2526 nucleotides long. RefSeq lists it as uncharacterized. The record is from RefSeq and is a predicted model, not a curated record. Lineage: Eukaryota; Viridiplantae; Streptophyta; Magnoliopsida; Rosales; Rosaceae. The transcript is spliced from 9 exons.